GACGUAGGUGGCGAACGUUAUCCGGAAUUAUUGGGCGUAAAGGGUGCGUAGAUGGUCUGAUAAGUUAGCAGUGGUAAAUCGAGGCUCAACCUCGUGGAAACUGGUAAUACUGUCAGGCUUGAGUGCAGGAGAGGUUAACGGAACUCCCUGUGGAGCGGUAAAAUGUGUAGAUAUAGGGAAGAACAUCAAUAACGGCGAAGGCAGUUAACUAUUCUGCUACUGACAUUGAGGCACGAAAGCGUGGGGAGCAAAAAGG
RNAcentral lists this ribosomal RNA (256 nucleotides) under uncultured bacterium. Its description in RNAcentral is "partial 16S ribosomal RNA". It matches the Rfam family "Bacterial small subunit ribosomal RNA", at positions 524 to 776 of the family's 1533-position model. The record is from RNAcentral.